CAAGCUAAUAUGAGAGCGCGGCGCACAGCUCAGUAACACGUGGCUAACCUGCCCUUGGGACGGAGAUACCCCCGGGAAACUGGGGCUAAUCCCCGAUAGGUGAAGAACUCUGGAAUGAAUCUCCACCCAAAAGACGUUUACGUUAUGCUCGUAGGCGCCGCCCAAGGAUGGGGCCGCGUCCGAUCAGGUUGUUGGUGAGGUAACGGCUCACCAAGCCUUUUACCGGUGCGGGCCGUGAGAGCGGGAGCCCGGAGAUGGGCACUGAGACAAGGGCCCAGGCCCUACGGGGCGCAGCAGUCGCGAAAACUUUGCAAUACACGAAAGUGUGACAGGGCUAUCCCGAGUGCCAUCCGCUGAGGAAGGCUUUUACCCAGUUUAGAAAGCUGGGAGAAUAAGGAGAGGGCAAGACUGGUGUCAGCCGCCGCGGUAAUACCAGCUCUCCGAGUGGUGUGGAUGUUUAUUGGGCCUAAAGCAUCCGUAGCUGGCUGGGCAAGUCCCCUGUUAAAUCCACCGAUUUAAUCGUUGGUGUGCGGGGGAUACUGCUUGGCUAGGGGACGGGAGAGGCCGACGGUAUUUUCGGGGUAGGGGUGAAAUCCUAUAAUCCCGGAAAGACCACCAGUGGCGAAAGGCUGUCGGCUAGAACGCGCCCGACGGUGAGGGAUGAAAGCUGGGGGAGCGAACCGGAUUAGAUACCCGGGUAGUCC
This 704-nucleotide ribosomal RNA is filed under the name uncultured marine archaeon. RNAcentral describes it as "bacterial SSU rRNA". It matches the Rfam family "Archaeal small subunit ribosomal RNA", at positions 59 to 747 of the family's 1478-position model. The record is from RNAcentral.